AGUUUCUCUGAAUGUAACAAAAUGUGCAGAAACGUAACUUGUUCAUUUCAAACGUCAAAGAGAAACAUUUUGUUAAUAAAGUAACGCCAGGAACAACACAUACCUAUUGGCCUUCAAAAAUCUCCUGAAAAGCAUCGAGAGUAUAGGAAUAGCAAGUGUCUAUGGAGUGAACUAUUUUGGAAAAGGUCAUCUACGGCACCAGAACUAUAAAAAUUUCAUAAUGCAAGAUGCGCUUGGAAAAGAUCUGCUAAAUACUUCAUUGAAUUAUGUGUCUCUGAUAAAAGAAGAAUAUCGAAUGUUGGCCAGUACCAUGCCGAAUUAUGGUAAUAUUAAAGCUAA
Molecule: long non-coding RNA, 339 nt
Organism: Leptinotarsa decemlineata (Colorado potato beetle)
Lineage: Eukaryota; Metazoa; Arthropoda; Insecta; Coleoptera; Chrysomelidae
Source: RefSeq, a predicted model, not a curated record